GACGAACGCUAGCGGCAUGCUUAACACAUGCAAGUCGAACGAAGUGGCGAACGGGUGAGUAACGCGUAAUCAACCUGCCCUUCAGAGGGGAACAACAGUUGGAAACGACGGCUAAUACCGCAUCCUGAAGAAGGGGAUUGCGUUGGAUUAGCUAGGUGGGGGGGUAACGGCCAACCAAGGCGAGGAUCAGUAGCCGGUCUGGGAGGGGGAACGGCCACAAUGGGACUGGGAAAAGGCCCAGAAUUCCAAGGGAGGGAGGAGUGGGGAAUCUUCCGAAAUUGACGAAAGUCUGACGGAGCAAAGCCGCCUGGUUUAUGACGGCCUUCGGGUUGGAAAGCUCUGUUAAUCGGGACGCGGUACCGGAAUAGAAAGCCACGGCUAACUACGUGCCAGCAGCCGCGGUAAUUC
This 408-nucleotide ribosomal RNA is filed under the name uncultured bacterium. Its description in RNAcentral is "partial 16S ribosomal RNA". It matches the Rfam family "Bacterial small subunit ribosomal RNA", at positions 28 to 526 of the family's 1533-position model. The record is from RNAcentral.